UCUCUCCAACACAGCAAUACAAUCUCUCUCAUCAUCACUGACUUCCUUCAAAGUGUCCAGUAAACUUCGCGCCACCAUUUGCCUAGAAGCACAGUUGACUUGGUCUUUUAAAGGGCUGGACAGCUCUGUUAAAUAUGUUCUCACUUGCAGCGUACUUGUCCAGUCUUCCCAAAGGCGUCAACAUUUCAUCUUGUGAGACAAAGUCCAGGGCUGAAGGUAUAAUAAUCACAUCAGACUCUGAGCUGUAGUCAUCCACACCAAAUCCGUCGAUCUCCUCCUGCAGGUCCUCCUGGAGCAGCGACAGAUCUGCGAGACACAAGCAGCGUGGGCCGACGGGCCCGCACGCCCCCGCCACGCGCGCCCCGUCGCACCCGCGGGGCCGCCCCCCGCUCCCCGCCCGCACCGCCGGGUCUGAGCGCGCCCCGACCCCCGCGCCCGGGGCUCCCCGCCGCCUCCCGCACCCCCGCGGCCGGACAGGGGAGGAGGGGGCGCCGCCGCGGGAAGCGCUUCCCGAGCCGGGGCGGGGGCGAGGAGGGGGGAGGCGGCGUGAGGCGGGGAGGGGGAGGGGGGUGCUACCUACCCGCCAUCUUGCUGCAGCCCCCGCGGGGCGCCGGGCUGCAUCCAGCCCGCGGCGGGGCGGCGAGCGGGCGGCGGGGCCGGAGGAAGGAGGGGGCAGAGCCCGGCGCGGUCCAGGCCCCGGGCCCGGCGACGGCGUCUCCCGCGUCCCCGGGAGAGGCGCGCAGGGAGCGGGCGGGCGGAGGAAGGCGGGAGGAGGGGUCUGGGCCGGACACGCUGCCCCCGCCUCCGCCCGGCAGAGCCGCGCUCGCACGCGGCACGGCCGCGCCGCGCUCCCCGCCCCUCGCACUGACUCACGCCCGGGACGCCCGGCCCUGCCCGCCGGCGGCGAGACCGGGGACCGCGAGGGCACGGCCGCGCGUCUCGGCUCGCUCACCUGGCGGGCUGUCUCCGCACCUGACCUCCCGGCUGCGCAGCCCCGCCGUGCCGUGGCAGCUGGGGGAGCGAGGGACUGUGAAUGGAGCCUUGUUCUGGGCUCUGGGGGGGAGGGGGGGGGGUCACUCGGAGAGAAGAGUCUGCAUGAGGUGGUCGCACCACAAAAAUCCUCAUGAUGGGUUUCACAGAGUUACUCGGCAGGAGGAAGCGGGUUUCCAUGAGGUAUCCAGGUCAGUAUAGUCCACGCUGAGAGCUCUGUGGGGUUACCCAUAAGGCAGCCGUGCCACAGAGACCCCUCGCUUUGGGGGGGGUUUUUCCUCGAGUCCUUCCAGAGGACUGGAGGCAGCCAGGCCACCCUUUCAGUAUCUAGAGGAGGGGAUAGACGUUAGCGAGAACUGUCGUGAAAGAACAAGGGGAAAUGGUUUCAAACUGAAAGAGAGAAGGUUUACAUUGGAUGUAAGGAAAAAAAGCCCCCAUCCCUGGAGAUGCUCAACGUCAGGCUGGGUGGGGCUGCGAGCACCUGACCUAGCUGUAGGUGCCCUUGUUCACUGCAGGGGGGUUGGACUAGAUGGCCCUUUAGGGUCCCUUCCAAUUCAAAUGAUUCUAUGAUUCAAAGUUCCCGCUUUGGGCUCAGGCUGUCUGGAGAGAAGGGUCCCCACCAGGCCACACACCAUGGAAGUCCCUGCUGCAGCCUGGGAGUGUUAUCAGAGCGUUCCACCAUCUUGUUAUCUCUGUAAUGAUCAGUGAUGGUGUUACUGCAGAGAGAAUUAAAAAAAAAAAAAAAAAAAAAAGUUAUUUUUGCCCAGUUUUUCGGAAAAGGAUGCCAUUUUGGUUGCUCAGGUUUUUAAUGCAAUGUUUGGUAACAUGCUUUGUAAGCUCCUUUUUAACAUCAAGCUGCUGUUUUCCCUUUAUUUUGUAAGUCAGGUAAGGAAUAAACAUCUACAGUCAUUCCUUUUCUUUUCCAUUGUGGCUGAAAAUGUGCCAUCUUUUAGAAUGUAUGCAUCCCUUUCCUUACAUUCCUCUAGAGCAAGCUGCACCCUGAUUCACACCUAUUCAAUCUUUAGAGAAAUCAGGGGGUCUGCUGGGUACUGAUUGUCUGACACUUGCUUUUAUUCAGAUAGGUAACCUCAAAAUCUGAGUAAAUCAAAUAAAUUCACCUUGGCUACGUUGUACGAACCAUGUUAUUCUCUGCUGGAGUAACUGAAGAGAAGAUUCAUUAGAAACAUUUGACAUCACCAGUACCUAGCAACGCUGAAUGUAGGAAUAUUUUAUAGUAGUAGACCUAGAAGACCAAAUCUUUAUCUCUUCUCACUGUGAGUUAUUUACAGGAUGGUUUCUUUCUGCUUUGCGUUCUUCACCACAGCCCAAGCCCAGUUUUGCUUCCUCUGAAAUCAACAGCAGUAGUCUCAAAAUGCUCUGUGCCUGAUUUUACUAAAAGAAUUGAGAGCUAUGGUUGCUCUUCCCAACUCUUUACAAAGAGUCACUAAUGCAUGCUAGCUGUAGGUCACAGUGGUCUGAAAUCAGCUGUUGACUACUACUAUCAGAAUGAGAAAGUAAACUGAAUGAGAUACAAAUGCAACUGGGUUUAUAAUUUGGAAUGCAUCCGAACUACUUCUCUCAAGACUAUAUUAAUAGUGUUAGUUAUUGCUAGCGUACCAUUUAUGCAGUAAAGCAAGGCAAAUGAUGAUUACAAAAGAUCAUACUUAACAUAAAUUCAUAUAAAUUAAUUUUGGAUCACGCUAUGCGUAUGUGUUCUGCGCAAGUAGUAAUUAGUGAUGCUCUCUAUAGGCAGGAGUGGGUGAGAUCUGAAACACAGAUCAGAGUGAUUUAACCUUGGAAGAUGAAUUAUAACUGUACAAGAACUGCAAUUUUUUGCUACAAGUUAGUCCUAGAAUAACGAUCUGUUUCUCAGGUGCAGAUGGCCCUGGUACCAUUGCUAGCAGUCAUCAGGAGAGGUGUCUUCCUCUGCAAACAGAGAUACAGUGGCAAAACCUUUGGCUCAUAGUCAUACACACAUGGAGAAAAAUUACUUUGAUUUGGCUUCAAGCCACCAUGCAAUAGAAAAACCCACUUAAUGAAUAAGUAACCAGAUAUUUCUCAAGUUCUUGGCCUCAGGAGACCUGUAAAUCUUCUGGCACUCUUUGAAGGCCAGAUCCAAAGUUCAUACCCAUGGUAAGAUUGCCCAUCACGGGUAACAAACAAGGCAGGCACCCCAGAAAUGUGCGACAUGCUGGUUCUUUCAGAUGGAGUGGUGGACUGCCAUUUGAAAACAAGUGACCUAAUUAUACCUGAAAAUUUUCAUAACAGGCUUGUUUUAUUAACUGGGAUGUGUCAAAGAAUGAGCAAAACAGCACCUGGCAAAACAUUCGAACAGAUCUUGUGCUGGAGUUCUCGUAAUCCACCACGAAUUGGGUGCAAAGGAAUGGAUGGAAGACUCAUUGGCAAGAUGAUUUGCAUGGGACAGAAGACACCUGUACUGCUACCUACAUGGAGUAUCUCAUAAAGACCCACAGCAAUCAAGGAGGUAUUAUGGCAUUUACAUAAAGUACUGCAUAAAUCCUUUGGAAUCAGCAUAGAUGACCAUUAUGUAUGAGAUAUGUAAUAUCCAUCCUGAUAUAUUUGCAAAAUGGGAUUCUGUAGUUGGAUCACCAUUUCUUCAGUCAGAACUGCUUCAGGUGUGAGGAUCUCAAGCCCAAGCACUCGUACAUGAAAUACUCAAUUUCCUAUAUUUGUUCUGAAGAAGCAAGCCACCGUGUCACCAAGCAAUAGUGCCAGCUUUCACUGUCCACAUGUUAAGUAGCUCUGCAUUUCUCCCAGCUCCCUUUCCCGUGUGGGACGAGCUUACCAUAAAUAUCUGCAGAACUAUCUCACCAUCCUCCUCCAAACUCCUCUGCAGAGCUAUUUUUUUGUAAGGCCUACAGAAAUGCUUUGGGGUUACACUGCUGGUGCAUGAUACAAAUGCUUAUCCUCUUGAACAAUACUGACUCAUAGCUUCUUGUCCACCCCCAGGAUUCUGUCUGCACACAUCUGUGACACUUUCUGGCUAAGGCAUACGCUCCUUACUUUAAAGGCUAUCUUUCUGUUCUUUGAGUAGUGCUUAACCAAAAUUGGCCCACAACUAAGGAGACAGGCUAAGAUACAUUCAUAUACACACAUAAGCAUGUGGGUACCUGAAAUAUGAAAGGAUGAGCAUGGAAACCUGAUGGCUGAAGCCUGGGAAACUGUUCAUGCGCACCUGAAAGUAUACCUCAUGGAAGCAUUUCUGCUAAGAAGGGAUGUUCUUCGUAAAGCCUUUCCCUUCUCCUCCCUGUUCUCCUUCCCUUCUCCUGCCCUGGUCCUCUUUUUGUUUGUUGUUUUAUUUUUUUUCUUUUUCCUUUCUCUGAUGAAAAUACCGGAGGUCUUUUGCUGUUGCUUUUUAUUGGAGCAGGGCUGUAUUUGAAACAUUCCUAGUGGAGAUGAAGGUUUUAGACUAUGCAGCACUCAGUUUUAUUUAAUCUCACCCAUUUCCUGGAUAAAGAGCUGCACCUGUUCAGAACUUCGGUGAGAUGCAGGACAUGACAGCCCAGGCAGGCUUUUUAUUUUGAUAGCCAAGAAUGGAUUAACACUAAAAUUUGCUGACAAAGAGCUCUGUUAACACAAAGUUAAGUUUGCCUUGUGGGUAUCUCAUGUCAUUCCAGUCAUUCCAGAAUAGUGACAAGUUCAAGUGAUCAAGCAUCUCAAAACUGGGAAAUACAAAAUCAGAUAGAUACUAAUGCAAUGUUAAGGCUGCACCUGCAGCUUGCAAUGGUUAUGGCAAUUUGUUUGCAAGUAAAGCUGUUACACCAAAGGCGCAAGGAUGGCAGUGCUACUGCGAGUGGUCAAAGGAAAGGCAUGCGUGUAGGAGAUAUUCCAGCUUCUUUAUUUCACUGUUAAGACCACUACUAGUGGGAAUAUGCCUAACUCCUUUGGCUAUAGACAUUUCAUGAGGGUGGUCUUUGUGGUGGGUAAGUCAAAGUCUGUAUCUGUAUCUGAUCCUAAUGGUUCUCAAGUUCACUGUGAAAGAGGAAUAAAGAAAACAUCAGGGGCUGCAUCAGGGAGUUGGGUCUCAGUGUUGUAGUACCACAUGUGCACAGGGUUCCUCAUUCAAUAUCACACACCUGCACAUGAGUUUCCUUCAGCAGGGAGCUGUGCUGCAGUUCUGAGGUACUCUGUUUCAGAAAUCGUGUGUCAUGCUUACGUUUGGUGUGGGAAGACUGAAUCACUGCUCAAACAGGGCAGAGUUCAGGUGUACUGAUGUGCCUUAGCUCCCUGUUUCCUCGUUCUCAGAGGUAUGUGAGUCACCAGCGUACGGUAAGGAAACAAGACUGGGCAAUGAGAAAUGCUGAAUCCUUUCCUUCAUUGCCUGUUGAGAUUUUUCAUUUUUUAAAUUAUUUUUUAAUUUGAAAAAGGCUGAAUUUGGGCUUGCUAUCUCAGGAAAUUCCAACAACUACACAUAUGUGCAGCUGGAAUACUGUCAUUAUUCUUCUCUCUUAGGUAAAGAAACAGAGAUCAGAAGAGGUAAAGUGGCCUGCCUAGUGCUGCUUAUCAGGAAAUAAGCAGUUUUCCUGAAGAAAGAGGUUUCCUGAGAUGGAAAAUAGGGAAAAAAAAUAAACCAAGAAAAGAUCUUUGCUAUUUUUUAUUCUCUGAUGCCAUUACGUGCAUGACGAGUAUCAAUAGAAAGCAUGUCCCUGCUCUGAGCUGUAUGCCAGGACAGACCCUGCAUCCCUGUUGGACUUGCCCUUGAGUCAGCUGGGCUUUCCAGCCUUCCCUCAGCCCACACAGUCUCCCC
Molecule: long non-coding RNA, 5758 nt
Filed under: Gallus gallus (chicken)
Lineage: Eukaryota; Metazoa; Chordata; Aves; Galliformes; Phasianidae
Source: RNAcentral